UAUGAUGGAAAUUUUAGGUCUGUUAAUAAAAAGAAUUGCUUUUCUGCAGUUUCUUAGCCCUGUCCCUGGGCCAUGCUUGCGUCACUAAAAAGAGAGAACUGGAGCACAUAGGCAGAGCCAAAAGAGAGAAAAACAGAGGGAAACUUCUCUUCAGAGCUGGUGGAAGGCACCUGCAGCUGGAUUAGCGUAUGGCCAGCUUCAGAAAUAACCCUCUUGUUAUCUAAGUAAGUAGAGGGUUAAAAAUCUGUGAAGAAUUUAGUGAAGUUAGAUGUUGCACAUACUAACAAACCCAAAUAUGUACACAAUGUCUAGGAUCAGGAUGACCAUCCUUGAGGUUGUCAGAAGCGAUGAAUUAGAGAACUACUAAUCAGGAGUUGGCUAUCCUUGAAGGAGAAACAUCCUGGAAAAUAUGUCAGCUAUAUGUACUUUUAAUUAUCAUGUUUGUACUUAAUUUUGGAUAGUUAGCUAAACUGCGUCCUUAAGCGAACUACCCUCAUUAUAAUACUAAAACUCACACCCACUGGGCAGGAGACCCCGGCCCAGGCGGAGACCCUUACUCAUAGAGCAUGCGUAAUGAGAACAGAGAUUGUGUAACCAUAUGCAAAUUACUAACCAAUCAGUAUUAGAGGGAAAUCUGUGGAAACCUACCAAGUGAAAAUAAUGUAUAUAAAAGGAACUCUGGAGAAUACCGAGGUGUGCUAGUUAGUGGGAAAGCACCUAGCACCCAAACUUGCACAGCUUUGUAAUAAACAAUAUCUGGUCUCUGUGUGUGAGAUUGGCUCAUUGCACACCGGGUACCAAAACCCACUUUUGGGACAACAGUUUUGGCAGCCCACAUGGGACGUCACUGAGGAGCCUUGCCUGGAUCGACUUGCUGCAAUCAGCGAGGAGAAGCGGACUGCUCGGGCUCCAGCACACACUGAACUGAUUUUUGGCGACUCUGACGGCUCCUCUCCCUUCUGGGCAUAUUGGAUUUAAAGGAUGCCACCUUUUGCAUUCUGCUGGAAGCUGAGAGUCAAAAGUUGUUUGCUUUUGAAUAGGAGAGUCCACCCACAGGACAAAAAGUGCAACUCUGCUGGACAGUACUACCACAAGGAUUCAAGAACAGUCCUACUUUGUUUGGUAACGUACUGGCCGAAGAAUUAGAACACUGGCAAGGUAUAAACGAACAAGAACUCCAGUGCCAUUAAUAGGCCAGUACACUUCUUCCAACCUGGGGAUCAAGUGUAUCUCUGGACAUGGAGAGAUGAACCGUUAAAGGAGGAGUGACAAGGACCGUAUAUUGUGGUGUUGGUAACAAAUACUGCCGUCAAAUUAAAGGGAAUAGAUUCCUGGAUUCACUACACUUGAGUAAAAACGGCUCUGGGAGAAAAGUAGACUUCUGAAGAGAUACAGCCACUGAAAUUGAGGAUCUCCAAAGCCUCAUGAAUUGUACCUGGUCCAUUUAUUCGUUAUUUGUUAAAAUAUGUAUCAAAUUGUGGGAAUCAUUCUGUUUCAAUUUUGUAUCAUAGGCUUACAAGCUCAGUGUACCAUGAUCUACCUAUUCCUGCAAAUGUGUCAUGGCAAAAUUUGUGGAUUAAUACUAAUAUUGACCCUAGAGAGAUAUAGGAAUUGAACGACUUCAUUGUUUGAUUCAGAAGAAUUUCCACUGAUCUAGAUGAAGUUUGGAAACAGACUAAGAUAUUACAUGAAAUUAAAAAAGAUGACACAUCCUGGGGAUUUGAAGCAGCAUGGAAAUGGUUAACUUCCUGGUUUCCUGACCUGAGCUUUUGGAUUAAAAGGUUAAUAGCUAUAACAAUAAUUAUACUGCUUGCCUUUAUAUGCAUAUAUGUUGUGUUAAAAUGUACUUUAAAUGUUGUUCAACUGUAAGAAAAGUAGUAUAUGAAAAGAUUAUAUGAGACUUAAAUAGGAAGUACAAGUUUCUUUGUCUAAAUCUCAAAGGGGGGAAUUGUUACCUCAGCAAGUAGAGGGUUAAAAAUCUGUGAAGAAUUUAGUGAAGUUAGAUGUUGCACAUACUAACAAACCCAAAUAUGUACACAAUGUCUAGGAUCAGGAUGACCGUCCUUGAGGUUGUCAGAAGCGAUGAAUUAGAGAACUACUAAUCAGGAGUUGGCUAUCCUUGAAGGAGAAACAUCCUGGAAAAUAUGUCAGCUAUAUGUACUUUUAAUUAUCAUGUUUGUACUUAAUUUUGGAUAGUUAGCUAAACUGCGUCCUUAAGCGAACUACCCUCAUUAUAAUACUAAAACUCACACCCACUGGGCAGGAGACCCCAGCCCAGGCGGAGACCCUUACUCAUAGAGCAUGCGU
Long non-coding RNA from Harpia harpyja (harpy eagle), 2307 nucleotides. RefSeq lists it as uncharacterized. The transcript is spliced from 3 exons. The record is from RefSeq and is a predicted model, not a curated record. Lineage: Eukaryota; Metazoa; Chordata; Aves; Accipitriformes; Accipitridae.